CAGGGAGACAUAACUGAUCUUGAUGUCUGAGUAAAAUAUUCUUAGACCAUGAUCCUGUCACCUUAGGUCGAUCGGUACCUCAACAUUAAUUUCAAAUCUAUUGGUUUGUUGUUGAUUUUCAGUUCCUAAACUUGUCUAGGUCACACCCAACAAGGGUACUCCUGGGCCAUUAGCUCAGGUGGUUAGAGCGCACCCCUGAUAAGGGUGAGGUCCCUGGUUCAAGUCCAGGAUGGCCCAUUCGGUGUUGGGGGUAUAGCUCAGUUGGUAGAGCGCCUGCUUUGCAAGCAGGAUGUCAGCGGUUCGAGUCCGCUUACCUCCACUGAUUAACUACCUGAUAACUCAAAUUGGAGAUUGUUAUUUGUUAAAUGUGAUUUAGAUGUUGUUCAACUGAAGGAACCUAGCUUCCUAUCACUCCUGAAUUAACUUUAGGCUGAUAAGACGCUGGGCUCACUGGAUGUUCUAAGGGAUAUUCAGUUUGUUUCAGCAGAACCUUGACAACUGCAUAGGAAAAUCUAGAAAAAUAAAGCAUCUCAUAGAUGCAUAGAAGUUUUUUCAUUUUUUAAUGAUUAGAUUUUUAUGUUCAGUUCUUGAGUUAGAGCAAAUUUUCUAUUACUUAAUUCACUUAAGGUUAAGUGAUGACUAAUUAACUUUAGAUAAGUUUAUAGAUUAAU
RNAcentral lists this transfer RNA (671 nucleotides) under uncultured cyanobacterium. RNAcentral describes it as "partial miscellaneous RNA". The stretch from base 247 to 319 matches the Rfam family "tRNA". The record is from RNAcentral. Lineage: Bacteria; Bacillati; Cyanobacteriota.